UAUUGUGUGACAGUAUUUUGAUUCGUAUAUCGGGUCUGGAAGUGAGAAAGGAAAACAGAAAAUAAAGGGGGAGAAAGAAAAAAGUCGGAGGAACUGUCAAAAUAACACCCCUUAAUUUAAAGCAGCGGGGGGCUACGACGUGUUUAUUGCCCCCCUCCUCCUUCAGGAAAACGUUGAAGGCCACGGUGCUGUUUUUACCACUUUCCAAAGUUCCACCUCUCCGCUUCUCUGACAGCACCCCCGGCCCUGAGGAGAAUCGGUGGCGGUGUCUCGGGUGUUGAAGGUGGCCCGGGGAGCGGCGGCUGAGACGGGAUAGUUCCUGUAAAGCCCCGGACUGCAGAAACUAAAGUUGGUGUGGAGAUCGGUUAUGUUGGAUCUUAACAACGAAGGGACAGCAUAUGACAGAAAAACCUAG
Long non-coding RNA from Polyodon spathula (Mississippi paddlefish), 415 nucleotides. RefSeq lists it as uncharacterized. The transcript has 2 exons. NCBI's taxonomy places the organism in Eukaryota, Metazoa, Chordata, Actinopteri, Acipenseriformes, Polyodontidae. The record is from RefSeq and is a predicted model, not a curated record.